UACGGAGGGUGCAAGCGUUAUCCGGAUUUAUUGGGUUUAAAGGGUGCGUAGGCGGUGAAAUAAGUCAGUGGUGAAAUCUCUCGGCUCAACUGAGAAACUGCCAUUGAUACUGUCGUUCUUGAGUACACUUGGAGUGGGCGGAAUGUGUCAUGUAGCGGUGAAAUGCUUAGAUAUGACACAGAACACCGAUCGCGAAGGCAGCUCACUAAGUUGUAACUGACGCUCAGGCACGAAAGCGUGGGGAUCAAACAGGAUUAGAUACCCUGGUAGUCCACGCCGUAAACGAUGAUCACUCGAUGUUGGCGAUAUACUGUCAGCGUCUAAGCGAAAGCAUUAAGUGAUCCACCUGGGGAGUACGAUCGCAAGAUUG
RNAcentral lists this ribosomal RNA (370 nucleotides) under uncultured prokaryote. Its description in RNAcentral is "bacterial SSU rRNA". It matches the Rfam family "Bacterial small subunit ribosomal RNA", at positions 524 to 896 of the family's 1533-position model. The record is from RNAcentral.